Molecule: long non-coding RNA, 169 nt
Organism: Pseudopipra pipra
Lineage: Eukaryota; Metazoa; Chordata; Aves; Passeriformes; Pipridae
Exons: 2
Source: RefSeq, a predicted model, not a curated record
AAGCACCGCAUCGUCAAGGGCUCGGAGCAAGAGCGGUGAGGGGACAUGAAGUACCACGAGCACAAAGAUCUGUUCCGAAUGCUGACUUUCAAAGAGAGGAGAGAAGUAAUUUGAUUUUUAUUUUUAAUUAUCUGGAGACAAAUCAUACCAACAGAGACCUUUUAUUGCA